Molecule: ribosomal RNA, 534 nt
Filed under: Arsenophonus endosymbiont of Bemisia tabaci
Lineage: Bacteria; Pseudomonadati; Pseudomonadota; Gammaproteobacteria; Enterobacterales; Morganellaceae
Description: partial 23S ribosomal RNA
Rfam family: Bacterial large subunit ribosomal RNA
Source: RNAcentral
CGAGGCGAACCGGGGAAACUGAAACAUCUCAGUACCCCGAGAAAAAGAAAUCAACCGAGAUUCCCCCAGUAGCGGCGAGCAAACGGGGAGCAGCCCAGAGUCAACAUCAAUAUUUACCACAGGAGAAGGGUCUGGAAAAGCCGGCAAUAAAGGGUGAUAGCCCCGUAUCUAAAGCGGUAAGUGUUGUGAACUCGAAGAGUAAGGCGGGACACGUGUUAUCCUGUCUGAAUAUGGGGGGACCAUCCUCCAAGGCUAAAUACUCCUGACUGACCGAUAGUGAACCAGUACCGUGAGGGAAAGGCGAAAAGAACCCCGGCGAGGGGAGUGAAAUAGAACCUAAAACCGUGUACGUACAAGCAGUAGGAGCACCCGAAAGGGUGUGACUGCGUACCUUUUGUAUAAUGAGUCAGCGACUUAUAUUCUGUAGCAAGGUUAACCGCAUAGGGGAGCCGUAGAGAAACCGAGUCUUAACUGGGCGUUAAGUUGCAGGGUAUAGACCCGAAACCCGGUGAUCUAGCCAUAAGCAGGUUGAAG